GAUGAGAACGUAGUGAAAUGCGAUAAGUAAUGUGAAUUGCAGAAUUCAGUGAAUCAUCGAAUCUUUGAACGCACCUUGCGCCCUUUGGCUAUUCCGAAGGGCAUGCCUGUUUGAGUAUCGUGAACACCUCAACUCUCAUGGUUUGCCAUGAUGAGCUUGGACUUUGGGGGUUUUGCUGGCCUUUGGUCGGCUCCUCUCAAACGGAUCAGCUUUCCAGUGUUUGGUGGCGUCACGGGUGUGAUAACUAUCUACGCCUGUGGUUUUCUGCCAGAUAACCUUCAGCGAUGGAGGUUCGCUGGGGCUCAUAAAUGUCUCUCUUCAGUGGAGACAGCUUUUUGGACGUUUGAUCUCAAAUCAGGUAGGACUACCCGCUGAACUUAAGCAUAUCAAUAAGCGGAGGA
This 401-nucleotide unclassified non-coding RNA is filed under the name soil metagenome. Its description in RNAcentral is "partial contains 5.8S ribosomal RNA, internal transcribed spacer 2, and large subunit ribosomal RNA". The stretch from base 5 to 120 matches the Rfam family "5.8S ribosomal RNA", at positions 40 to 154 of the family's 154-position model. The record is from RNAcentral.